ACGCCUAACACAUGCAAGUCGAACGAAGUAGCAAUACUUAGUGGCAGACGGGUGAGUAACAUGUAGGUAUCUGCCCUUUGGCCUGGAAUAACACGAGGAAACUUGUGCUAAUACUGGAUAAGUCUUUACGGAGAAAGCUUUAUGCACCAUUGGAUGAGCCUGCACUUGAUUAGUUUGUUGGUGGGGUAAUGGCCUACCAAGACUGUGAUCAAUAGCUGAUUUGAGAGGAUGAUCAGCCACAUUGGGACUGAGACACGGCCCAAACUCCUACGGGAGGCAGCAGUGGGGAAUCUUGCACAAUGGAGGAAACUCUGAUGCAGCGAUGCCGCGUGAGUGAAGAAGGCCUUUGGGUUGUAAAGCUCUUUCGUCGGGGAAGAAAAUGACUGUACCCGAAUAAGAAGGUCCGGCUAACU
This 413-nucleotide ribosomal RNA is filed under the name uncultured bacterium. Its description in RNAcentral is "bacterial SSU rRNA". It matches the Rfam family "Bacterial small subunit ribosomal RNA", at positions 44 to 502 of the family's 1533-position model. The record is from RNAcentral.